AGAGUUUGAUCCUGGCUCAGGACGAACGCUGGCGGCGCGCUUAACACAUGCAAGUCGAGCGAGAACCGAGGCUUCGGCCUCGGGGAGAGCGGCGAACGGGUGAGUAACACGUGGAUAACCUGCCCUCGGCACCGGGAUAGCCCGGGGAAACCCGGAUUAAUACCGGAUGGCCCUUCCGACUCUCGAGUCGGACGGAAAAGGUAGCUUCGGCCUCCGGCCGAGGAUGGGUCCGCGGCGGAUUAGCUUGUUGGUGGGGUAACGGCCCACCAAGGCUCCGAUCCGUAGCUGGUCUGAGAGGACGAUCAGCCACACUGGGACUGAGACACGGCCCAGACUCCUACGGGAGGCAGCAGUGGGGAAUCUUGCGCAAUGGGCGAAAGCCUGACGCAGCGACGCCGCGUGAGGGAAGAAGGCCUUCGGGUUGUAAACCUCUUUCAGCAGGGACGAAGCUACUCGGGUGAACAGCCCAGAGGGUGACGUACCUUAGAAGA
This 491-nucleotide ribosomal RNA is filed under the name uncultured bacterium. Its description in RNAcentral is "bacterial SSU rRNA". It matches the Rfam family "Bacterial small subunit ribosomal RNA", at positions 8 to 488 of the family's 1533-position model. The record is from RNAcentral.